This 29-nucleotide non-coding RNA is filed under the name Mus musculus (house mouse). Lineage: Eukaryota; Metazoa; Chordata; Mammalia; Rodentia; Muridae. The record is from RNAcentral.
UCAUCCCUGUGCUAUCAGACAUGAGGUUC